This 515-nucleotide ribosomal RNA is filed under the name uncultured bacterium. RNAcentral's name for it is "partial 16S ribosomal RNA". It matches the Rfam family "Bacterial small subunit ribosomal RNA", at positions 28 to 523 of the family's 1533-position model. The record is from RNAcentral.
GAUGAACGCCGGCGGCGUGCCUAAUACAUGCAAGUCGAGCGAAUGGAUUAAGAGCUUGCUCUUAUGAAGUUAGCGGCGGACGGGUGAGUAACACGUGGGUAACCUGCCCAUAAGACUGGGAUAACUCCGGGAAACCGGGGCUAAUACAGGAUAAUAUUUUGAACUGCAUGGUUCAAAAUUGAAAGUCGGCUUCGGCUGUCACUUAUGGAUGGACCCGCGUCGCAUUAGCUAGUUGGUGAGGUAACGGCUCACCAAGGCAACGAUGCGUAGCCGACCUGAGAGGGUGAUCGGCCACACUGGGACUGAGACACGGCCCAGACUCCUACGGGAGGCAGCAGUAGGGAAUCUUCCGCAAUGGACGAAAGUCUGACGGAGCAACGCCGCGUGAGUGAUGAAGGCUUUCGGGUCGUAAAACUCUGUUGUUAGGGAAGAACAAGUGCUAGUUGAAUAAGCUGGCACCUUGACGGUACCUAACCAGAAAGCCACGGCUAACUACGUGCCAGCAGCCGCGGUAA